Molecule: ribosomal RNA, 460 nt
Filed under: uncultured bacterium
Lineage: Bacteria
Description: partial 16S ribosomal RNA
Rfam family: Bacterial small subunit ribosomal RNA
Source: RNAcentral
CCUACGGGCGGCAGCAGUGAGGAAUAUUGGUCAAUGGACGAGAGUCUGAACCAGCCAAGUAGCGUGAAGGAUGACUGCCCUAUGGGUUGUAAACUUCUUUUAUAUGGGAAUAAAAUGUUCCACGUGUGGGAUUUUGUAUGUACCAUAUGAAUAAGGAUCGGCUAACUCCGUGCCAGCAGCCGCGGUAAUACGGAGGAUCCGAGCGUUAUCCGGAUUUAUUGGGUUUAAAGGGAGCGUAGGUGGAUUGUUAAGUCAGUUGUGAAAGUUUGCGGCUCAACCAUAAAAUUGCAGUUGAAACUGGCAGUCUUGAGUACAGUAGAGGUGGGCGGAAUUCGUGGUGUAGCGGUGAAAUGCUUAGAUAUCACGAAGAACUCCGAUUGCGAAGGCAGUUCACUGGACUGCAACUGACACUGAGGCUCGAAAGUGUGGGUAUCAAACAGGAUUAGAUACCCUUGUAGUC